This 26204-nucleotide long non-coding RNA is filed under the name Pelobates cultripes (western spadefoot toad). The record is from RNAcentral. Lineage: Eukaryota; Metazoa; Chordata; Amphibia; Anura; Pelobatidae.
GGAGUGUAUAUUGCUUGUGCUUGCAGACGUCAGGUAAGUUAUAGAUUAAUUUUCUUUAGUGAUUUUGGGUGAAGGGGAGAGGUUAAAGAAUAAUACAUAAUACAUUAUGCUUCAGAAGAGUAAGAUCAUAAAAAAAGCUUGAAGUAACCCUUUAAUUCGUUCUGCAUAUCCACAAGGCUCUGCAAGUGUAGCACCAGCACAAGCUAAUUGGUUAGACUGAAAAGGUACAUGGGAAAAUAGUGCCAUAUUGCUGCUUGCAGUUGCAGGUGUGUUAAAGAUGGAGGUUAGUUAAUUGUCAGACAGACUCUUUUGCGAUGGUUACAGUGUUCAGAGUGUCAAUUCAAUUGUCCAAGUUCAGCUAAGUACUGUGUAUUGUGUAAAGGCUUUACUUUCAGACAAUCACUGCCAUCCAGAAUAAAAAUAAUUAAUGCUGUUAAUGCAGAAGUGAAGCAGCUUAAUGAAGUGGUCUGGGUGCCAGGUCCAUCUAGGAUUAACCCUGCCUGCUGUAAACAUAGCAGUUUCAGAGAAACUGCUAUGCUUACAUUUGAGGUUAAGCCAGCCUCUAGUGGCUGUCUCAUUGAUUUUCACAGUGAGAAGACGCCAGCGUCCAUAGGAAAGCAUUGAGAAUGCUGUCCUAUGGACUGGCUGAAUGCACGCGUGGCUUUUGCCGCGCAUGCGCAUUCAGCCGAUGACGACCGAAGGAGAAGGAGAGUCCCCAGCGCCGCAUAAGGUUUUAACUCCUUUCUCCCCCUUCAGCCGAGAGGGAGUGGGACCCUGAGGGUGGGGGCACCCUCAGGGCACUAUAGGAAAAAAUGAGUUAGUUUUACUGGCACUACAGGAAAACGAGUUAGUUUUCCUGGCACUACAGUGGUCCUUUAAAUUUCAAAUUAACUUUGUAUUCUCUCUUUAGAGAAUAACCCUGCUUAACCACUUAAGGACCGAGAAUUUGAGCUAUAUGUCUGUUUAACCAUAAGUUGCCUCUUCCCCAUUAAAGCGGCACUGUCAUGCCGAACUUACUUUUCCUCAAUCUCUUCCUCUUCCCCCCCUCUUUCAGGAUCUGUUCUUCUUUUCUUCUUGUCUUCUUUAGUUUUCUUUAAAAUCAUAAGAAAAAGUAGGGACUCUUUGGAGGCCUUAUGGAGGUUUCCUCCGCUUGACUAGCUUUGACCAGCGGAGGAGCAGAGUGUGCUUCAAUUCCGCUGGUCAGAGCAAUUUUCCCAUAAUUCUUACCUUUCCUCUGUGAUCUGGCGAUGGUUCCUGUCAUUUUAGACGAAACUGCCGAAUUGCGUUCUAACUCAAUGAGAACCGUAUGUUCGUUUGUUUUAGAACGCAAUUCGUCACUUUGUUCAUAUCGGAAUUUCAUUCGAAUGAAUGAAACUCCGAUCCUAUUUAUUGCCGCGGCUGCAUCAUGCAGCCGCUUAAUAGAUAACUCCCUAAUUCGCACGGUAUUAGGGAGCUAUCUACUAAAAGCCUGAAAGACCUAAAUUGGUCUUUCAGCCACAUUUACUAAUACUAAGUUAAGAUUACUUAGUAUUAGUAAAUAAUAUGCCCCUACUGUCCUCCACCCGGCCCCCACCCUGAGCGCUGGGUGUGGGCCCUAAAAACAAUAAAGGGGGAUCCUACUGUCCUCCCCCCAGCACCCAUCUCUGAACGGUGGGUGGGGGCCCUAAAAAAUAAUAAGGUGCCCCCCUACUUGCGGUAUAGCGAGUAGGAGCAUUCGGGAGAUUUUAAUCUUCCUUAUGCUAUUAUGGGGGGUCAUAUUGACCCCCACAGAGUGAGGUAGGAAAUGGGGGACUUAGGAAGUGGUGGGGAGCACUGCUCCCUGCCGCUUCUAUCUUUACAUAUUACAAGGAGGGAUUUACAUAUUACAAGGAGCUACUGCCAGCCGGUAGCUCCCUCCUUGUAAUAAACUGCACGAACAAACAAACACUAAUACACAGUGUUUGUUUGUUCGUCUGACAUUUCCAUUCAUUUAUUCGUCUUUCUGAAAAAUGAAUGAAUAGAUGAAAUUCCCGUUCGCAUACCCAAGUGUUUCACUGGGCAUGUGCGGGAAUCUCAGUGCCAUCUCAUGUGGGCAGAUGACGUGUCCCACAGGGACUUCCUCUACCCACACAAAGAUGGCAGCGCCCUGAAUAUAGAUCGGGGCAGAAAAUAAAGAAUAAAAAAUAGGUAAUAUGGGGGGCUUAGGGGCAUUUGGAGGUGACUAGGGGGUCAGUUAGAUAUAGUGGAGGCAGGAGGGGGGUUAAAAAAAAAAAAUCUAAAAAAAGUAUGACAAAUUAAGAACUUUUGUUAUUUUCCAAGUUCUGCAUAUCAUUUUAACUAUGAAUGUCAUAAUACUGUUAGCUUUUACUGCAAUAAAACAAAGAUACUUGUAUGCUAUGAUGUCCCACAAGUACAAAAAUCCCCCCACAUGUACAGGUUUCAUUGUGUUUUGGAAAGUUACAGGGUCAUAUGCGAGGCUUGCCCAUUUCAGUUUUUCCACUUUGAAAUUUGGCAGACUGGAUUGCUGGACCUUUGUUGCAUUUAAAACUGUAUGGCGGCCCAAGAAUGAAAAUGGUCCUCCUUAUGGCAUGCCAUUUGCAAAAGUAGAAAACACAAGGUAUUUAAUAUCAGGUAUGUCCAGUCUUUUUUAGUGGCCCCUUUUUUAAAAAUUCCUGGCCAAAUUUAGUGUUCAUAUAAUUUGUUUGCAUUUUGACACACAAAAACUGCCCUUUUACCAAUGAUAUGAUCAUUAUUAUAUGUUUUACUGCUCUAAAAUACUUGUAUUUGUGUUCAGCAAUGUCUCAUGAGUACAACAGUACCCGCCAUAUUUAUCUGAUUAUUAUCAUAUGAAAAAAAUUCAGAGAGAUUUCAGAAUUAAGAAUGUACCAACUAUCGAUAGAAACAACCCAGAAGUCUGCCCAAAAAUUUAUUGCAGUUCAUUGGACCUUAGACUGGUGGUCAUAGAGGAGGUGGGUUGUGAAAAUUACCAAAUAUAAAAUAUCUGUGUAUGAACUUAAACAUAAAUGUGACAUUGGCUACACCAAAUGCACUAAUUUAAAAGCUUUAUGAAGUUUUAAAACAAUAUAAAAUAGGUUUUGUAAUAUUUAAACAUCAAAAGUUGGAAAAAGUACAAACUGAUUAUUCUGAGCACAGUGUCUACAAGUGGCUGUCAGGGGAUAACAGCCGCCUACCACAGAGACCGUAUAGACUCCAAAUACGAAAACCUAUUAGAUCUACUGUAGAUAUUACGGCUGGAGAGUCAGCGUCUGAUACUGAACAAAGCAGCACCACAGGCAGAGGAUUACCACCUAAACAUUCAACUGCAAGACAAGCAUCAGUGUUUCUUUUCAGAGCCAGGUCUGAUAUUAAGCCGAGAACCACUACACAGUUUAAAUCGUAGCAGAGGCACAGCAAACACAGAUCCUUAUUCUUCAGGAGGGGUCAGAAAGGGAAGGCAUACAAAGAAGGAGACCAUCUUGCACUAACAGAUAUUUCCACUAUGACCUUAUCUAAGAGAGUUCUCACUGAUGUUGAAACACACCUACUAUCUAAGGGACUACAUUAAUAUCAAUCUCUGGCGUUGAUGAUUUUUAUUGGGAAGUGGACCAAUUUAAAUUUACACGGAAACUACGAUUAGCAGACUAUUUUAACCAUUAAUCCGAAUGUAACAUGGCUAGUGAAAUUAAAACUUUGAAGGUUUGCAGUCUUUUUGACCACCUCCACAAGUUCCUUUCUAAAAGUCUUUUCACAGAACUUGAAAAAGGGAUAGCAGGAAUAUCCUCUAACACAGGGAAAGGAACAGUGCGAAUAUCUCUAAUGCAGACAUAGAUGCACUACGAAGCCUGGCAUCUGGUCUAUCUAUAAUAACUAUCUGCCCUGCUGACAAGGGGGAGGCAUGGUCCUUAUGCAAUAUGAGUACUAUAGGAGAAAGAUACUAAUUUAUACACCUACACAGAAAUAGAUCCUGUUCAUGAUUUUUAUAGUUAUUCAACAGACUUUAAAACAUGGUCUCAAUGAAGGAUACAAAUCACAGCAUGUAUACGACAAACUACUGAAAACUCACCCAUGUAGCCAGGUUUAAUAUAGCUUACCAAAAAUGUUUAAUGACCCAGAAACCAGCCGUGCUGUCCAAUAGCUAUUCACAGGGCCGGACUGGGCAUUAAAAGCAGCCCUGGAAAAAAAAUAUUUACCAGCCCCAUAAUGUGUUGCACCAGCAUAGUGUGCAGAUACAGAGUUAGAACAGAUAACUUAAAAUUAAAAAGUACUUCAACGUAAAAAGCGCACUCAUAGGCUUCAAAAUAAACAAAAGUGCAGAUUUAUUUUAAGCAGACGUGCCUUUGCAUGUAAUCAAUGUUUCAGUCCAACUACCUUGACAUAUUAAGGAAAGCUUGUUAAUGGGACUGAAAUGGUGAAUGUAUGUAGGGCACAACUGUAAAAAAUUACGUUAUCUUGUUUAUUUUGAAGUCCUGUGGGUGCACUCUUCACUUUAAAUAUGUUAUUGUGCUGGAGUAUGCACCUAGCAACAAGACUGGGCCAAUAUCUGCUCAUUACAUAUGGUACAUAUUAAUGAAAUUUCUCUGUGUAUUAUGCAUAUAUAAAUGUACAUUAAUAUGUGUAAAUAUAAUAUAUAUAUAGAUAUAGAUAUAGAUAUAUAACUAAUACACACAUUAAUAUACAUGUCAUAUACCAGUGACGGAUCAAGAGCCUGAGCCCGGGAGGGGCACUUGUAGAUUAUUUAAAGAUAUAUUCCAUGCACAAUAACCACUACUCCUCUGUGUAGUGGUUAUGGUGCCAGGAGUGUCGGCACCCCUCCCAGAGUAAGUAGUCAAACCGUUUAAGAACAGUUUGACAACUUACCUGGAGUCUGCUGGGAUAUGUGGCUGUAGUAGGGUAUAGGAGCAGUGGUGCAAUGUGUGAGGGGUGCAAUGUGUGUGAAAGGUUCAGUGUGUGUGUGUGUGUGUGUGUGUGUGUGUGUGUGUGUGUGUGUGGGCAGUGUGUGUAUGGGGCUAGAGUUCACUCCUACUACUGCGACCACCAGGAAGUGGUGAGAGUGAACUCUAGCCCAUAGCUCCAGGGCUAGAGUUCACCCUCGUUAGAGCCGGAGCGUUGCCCCGGGUCCUCUCUUUCUCCCCCUUACUGCUCCUCUGUGUCAAUGUCUCCCCUCUCCUUCCCAGUCUCUCUCUUCCCCCUCUGCCUCUUUCUUCCCCUCCCCUUGGGUGUCUCUCUCUUCCCCCUCUGCCUCUUUCACCCCCUUUCCCUGUGUCUCUCCCUCCUCUCCAUCUCUCUCCCUCCCCCUUUCCCUGUGUCUCUCCCUCCAACCCAUCUCCCCCCUUUCCCUGUGUCUCGCACCUCUCCUCAUCUCUCUCCCUCCAACCCCAUCCUACCCCCCUUCCUGUGUCUCUACCACUCUCCCCAUCUCCUCUUCCUCCCCCCUUUCCUGUGUCUCUCCCUCAGCCCAUCUCCCCUUUCCCUGUGUCUCUCCCCUCUUCUGUCUCUCCUCCCUCCCCUUUCCUGUGUCUCUCCCCCUCUCCCCAUUUCUCUCCCUCCCCCCUUUCCUGUGUCUCUCCCACUCUCAGAUCCCUCCUUUUCCCGUGUCUCUCUCCCUCUCCCAUUUCUCUCCCCUCCCCCCCUUUCCUGUGAUACUUCCUCCUCUCUCAGGUCCCUCCUUUCCCGUGUCUCCUCCUCCCCCCCUUUUCUCCUGUGUCUCUCCCAUCUCCCUCCCUCUCCCUUUCCCUGUCUCUCCCCCUCUCCCAUCUAUCUCCCUCCUUUCCCUGUGUCUCUCCUCUCUCCCUCUUUUCCCUGUGUCUCUCCUCUCUCCCUCUUUUCCCUGUGUCUCUCCUCUCUCCCUCUUUUCCCUGUGUCUCUACUCUCUCCCUCCCCCUCUUUUCCCUGUGUCUCUCCUCCCCCCUUUUCCUGUGUCUCUCCCCCAUCCUCCUCUCCCUCCUUUUCCUGUGUCUCUCCCUCUCCUCCUUCCCCCUUUUCCUGUGUCUCUCCCCUUUCCCUCCCUCCCCCUUUCCUGUGUCUCUCCCCUCUCCCUCCCUCCCCCCUUUCCUGUGUCUCUCCCCUCUCCCUCCCCUCCCCCCUUUCCUGUGUGCCACCCCUCUCCUCCUUCCCCCCUUUCCCUGUGUCUCUCCCCUCUUCCUCCCUCCCUUCCUUUCCCUGUGUCUCUCCCCUCUUCUCAGCUCUCUCCCUCCCCCCUUUCCCUGUGUCUCUCCCCUCUCCGUCCCUCCUUUUUACCUUAUAGAAGGCAGGGGGCCGGCCACGUUCCAGGCUGGAGCCGCCGGGCCGGGUGGCAGCUUCGCCGGUCCGGCGGCACUGCUGUGGCUGAUGGCUGAAGGAGGAGGAGCCUGUCUCUGUACCAUGCUCCCUCGCGGUUCCCACAAUUCCCAGCACAGAAACCACGAGGGAGCAUGGUAUACAUGCUCCUCCUCCUUCAGCCAUCAGCCACAGCAGUGCCUGGAACACAGCCGGCCCCCUCAGAAUGCCACCGGACCGGCCACCCAGUGGCACCUAUGUGGCAGCACAGCCCCCAGGUGCCGCGGCCCACCGGGAAAUUUCCCGGUAUUCCGGUGGGCCAGUCCGGCCCUGGCUAUUCAUAUGUCCCCACCUGCUGCAUGGAUAAUGCUGCCCGUGAGCAGUUUGAUGGCUUUUGAUAGGAUUUAAAGCAUUCGGUUCCAGAUUUCAAGUUCAGGCCUGAAUUGCAAGAUAUAGACAUUGCAAAAUAUUGUGAACAAUGUCUGGGUUUUGCUGUACAACAGGGUCAUUCGGAUUUCAGUGAAUAACCCUGUCAGAAUGUGGCCAUAAAAAGAAAACAGGCUUGUUGAACAAGAUAAACAUAAAACAAUUAAGUCCAGCUCUCAAACUACCAAUAUUCCUAGCCGGCAGCAAUGACUAUAGUACACAUCAGCCUCAAUACAUACAAUAAGAAACAAAGAGGCAUUGCUGCCGCCCAUGACUAGUGGGAGUUUGAGUGCAGGGCUUAAUUCUGUAUGUUUUGUUUUGCUUUUGUAUUACACAGCCAUGUUAUAGUGCUGACACCUACCCCGUAUUUCCUAUUAAGGGUUAAUAAAUGUUUGGGGUUUAGAAAAAUACCCCUUUCUAACUCCUUGGAGAUUUGGCGCCGAGCAUCCCAACUAUGGAGUUCCUCUAAGUUUUUCUUAACAUACUUAUUUAUAACAACACCUGGGACAAGAUGGCCCAUUCAGCAGCAGAAACCAUUAAAUAAUUUGAUGGUGUAAGUGGGAGGAAUUUUGUAGUGAGCUAGGUGGUCUUUGGGCCAGAGGAAGGCAGUUGGGGCUUGACUGAUUGUGUGGAAAUGAGGUUGAAAGGGAGACCUACAUUUGUCUAUAUUGGUAAAGCUGUUCUUCAUUGCUUUUUCUUUCUUGCUUCAGCUGCUUUCAACUUUCUUCACUUUGCUAUUCUUGCUUUUGCUUUCCUUGACUGCAUGCCUUAACUGGUGCAUUUUCACUUUCCAAGGAGUUAUUGAGCUGUGGAUUCUCUAACCUAUUCACAUGAUGUUUUCAAUGUAUAAACAAGUUUAUUGUAUCUUUUUUUUUUAUUGUGGAAAAAAAGAAAUUUGUACAAACAGAAUGCAAAUGCCACAUUGGUCAAUAUUUAGACAUUUCAAACCGUGGUGGUGUAGCAAACGAGAUGGAAAUAGCAUGAGCAACAUAGACUGGGAGGUAUGUGGGAGCUGCACGCCGGUGAUCACGUGAAUGGGAUUUAAUCUUUCCCCAGUAUAUUUGUAUAGUGGGGCAUGUCCACCAAAUGUGCCCUGGGUGCCUAUUGCUUGUUUGCAUCGCCAGCACGUGUUGGGUGCGUUGAGAAAGAAUCGGUUAANNNNNNNNNNNNNNNNNNNNNNNNNNNNNNNNNNNNNNNNNNNNNNNNNNNNNNNNNNNNNNNNNNNNNNNNNNNNNNNNNNNNNNNNNNNNNNNNNNNNUCUCCCCUCUCCCUAUCCCUCUCCCUCCCCCCUCCACCAUCUCUCCAUUCCCCUCACCAUCUCUCCCCCCCAAUUUACCUUAGAGAAGGCAGGGGGGCGGCCGUGUUCCAGGCUGGAGCCGCCGGGCUGGGUGGCAGCUUCGCCGGUCCGGCGGCACUGCUGUGGCUGAUGGCUGAAGGAGGAGGAGCCUGUCCCCACCUGCUGCGUGGAUAAUGCUGCCCGUGAGCAGUUUGAUGGCUUUUGAUAGGAUUUAAAAGCAUUCGGUUCCAGAUUUCAAGUUCAGGCCUGAAUUGCAAGAUAUAGACAUUGCUAAAUAUUGUGAACAAUGUCUGGGUUUUGCUGUACAACAGGGUCAUUCGGAUUUCAGUGAAUAACCCUGUCAGAAUGUGGCCAUAAAAAGAAAACAGGCUUGUUGAACAAGAUAAACAUAAAACAAUUAAGUCCAGCUCUCAAACUACCAAUAUUCCUAGCCGGCAGCAAUGACUAUAGUACACAUCAGCCUCAAUACAUACAAUAAGAAACAAAGAGGCAUUGCUGCCGCCCAUGACUAGUGGGAGUUUGAGUGCAGGGCUUAAUUCUGUAUGUUUUGUUUUGCUUUUGUAUUACACAGCCAUGUUAUAGUGCUGACACAUACCCCGUAUUUCCUAGUAAGGGUUAAUAAAUGUUUGGGGUUUAGAAAAAUACCCCUUUCUAACUCCUUGGAGAUUUGGCGCUGAGCAUCCCAACUAUGGAGUUCCUCUAAGUUUUUCUUAACAUACUUAUUUAUAACAACACCUGGGACAAGAUGGCCCAUUCAGCAGCAGAAACCAUUAAAUAAUUUGAUGGUGUAAGUGGGAGGAAUUUUGUAGUGAGCUAGGUGGUCUUUGGGCCAGAGGAAGGCAGUUGGGGCUUGACUGAUUGUGUGGAAAUGAGGUUGAAAGGGAGACCUACAUUUGUCUAUAUUGGUAAAGCUGUUCUUCAUUGCUUUUUCUUUCUUGCUUCAGCUGCUUUCAACUUUCUUCACUUUGCUAUUCUUGCUUUUGCUUUCCUUGACUGCAUGCCUUAACUGGUGCAUUUUCACUUUCCAAGGAGUUAUUGGGCUGUGGAUUCUCUAACCUAUUCACAUGAUGUUUUCAAUGUAUAAACAAGUUUAUUGUAUCUUUUUUUUUUAUUGUGGAAAAAAAGAAAUUUGUACAAACAGAAUGCAAAUGCCACAUUGGUCAAUAUUUAGACAUUUCAAACCGUGGUGGUGUAGCAAACGAGAUGGAAAUAGCAUGAGCAACAUAGACUGGGAGGUAUGUGGGAGCUGCACGCCGGUGAUCACGUGAAUGGGAUUUAAUCUUUCCCCAGUAUAUUUGUAUAGUGGGGCAUGUCCACCAAAUGUGCCCUGGGUGCCUAUUGCUUGUUUGCAUCGCCAGCACGUGUUGGGUGCGUUGAGAAAGAAUCGGUUAACCCUGGUCGGUGUGUAGUGCCAUCUUGAGAUUCUUUUGUAGUUCCCCUCGUGGGUGUUGGUGCUUAGGGAUGAUUUGAAGAUGUUUGUAAAAAUAUGUGUCCAUUUCCUGUCCUGUAAGGUUAUCCCUAGUUCUUCCUCCCACUGUUUGGUAAAGUCUGGGAGGCAGUCAUCUUGUCGGUUCUGGAUACGUUUGUAGAAGGUGGAUAGAUGUUUGGUUUUUAAAUUAUGUGUGGAGCAAAUUGUUUCAAAUUGGGUGGGUGUUCUAGAGCCCUUUAGGAGAAUGGGGUUAGGCCUGGAUAUAAUGUGUGAUUUGCUUAUGUCUGAACCGAAGUAAUUUAGUUCGCCGGUCCUGUGGUAUGAGUUCGUUGAAAGGUCGUAUACCCUCGUCUGUCAAUAGCACUCCAAGAGAUAGGUAGUUCGGGUCUGGUAAAACAAAUUAAGAAUGUAGCACUUAUACAAAAACAAAAUGAAUUAAUCACCUUUUCAAGGUAAAAUGUCACUAGAAAAUUGGCAAGGAAAGAUGUAAAUGGAGAGCUAUCGACUUAGCUCUAGUUCAAAUGGCUUCUGAGUCUGUACGGGUGGCCCCAAACCCUUCUUACAAUGUGUUCCUGGGGUCUGUAGAUAAAUAAAAAUACACCAAAUUGCGCAAUAUCGUUUGUGAUGUUUCAAAGAAAAUAUAUGUGAUCUUUACGUGGGUACUCACAAGUGUAGGGUCAAAAUGUAUUGACUCAAUUUCAUAACAUUGUGCAAAUUCGGGACUGCACUCCCCAUUCAAUGAACCGAUAUCGGAAACCAGGAUCAUCCAAAAGUAAAAACGAUUAUUUAAUACACUCAUAUAAAUAAAAUAGCCACAAUGUGCUUUAAAAAUACCGGGACGCGUUUCGCCACUACCAACGUGGCUUCUUCAAACCGGAUUGUAGAAAAGCAACAGUGAUCCUGGAACUCCUCUUCUUAAAUUUAAAUAUAAAAAAACGGCGGGCAAAUUCCACAGCACCUUAACCGUCGCACAUCGGUACCACCCACAGGUACGACGUGUGCUGUCCAUGCCUCCCUUUCAUGUUAAUAUCGGGAGCGAAGAUGCUUAUAUUCUUUCUUAUCGUUCCCAUUCGUCUUUGUUCUUCAAUAGCUGAUAUGUAUAUCUUGAAAGUUCCUUGUUUAAUAUAAAAAUUAAAUACUCUAAUGUCCUCAAAAGUUCAUCCAGCAAAGAAUAUUUGUUCUCAUAUAUAAAAAAAAAAAAAACAGGAAAGAAAGCAAGAAAUAGAAGCAAAAGAAUAAAGAACAGCAUCAGUUUUCUUCUUGUUACAAAUAUUACGAUCUCUUUCAUCUGUAACAUUUUGUUUUGUCAGUUCUAAUUCACAGUAAUAUUAUAAUGGAUACAUUGUCAGUCUUAGUUAUUUACCGACAUUUUAACAUUUCNNNNNNNNNNNNNNNNNNNNNNNNNNNNNNNNNNNNNNNNNNNNNNNNNNNNNNNNNNNNNNNNNNNNNNNNNNNNNNNNNNNNNNNNNNNNNNNNNNNNGAUCUUAAUGCAAUCAGUAAUAAUAAAAACCCAGAUAAAAUUAUAACAUCGUUACAUAUCCCCUUUCUGUUUUUAAAAAAAGAAAAAAAGAUUAUACUGUGGAUAGAUAUAAUAAUAACUCAUCUUUGCGUUCUGUUCUUGGAUAUCCACAGUAAUUCAUAAAUAUACUUACUAAACAACAAAUUAACUGAUUUACAAAAAAGAUUAAAAUGUUAUAAGAUAAUUGUUGUAAAGGCUAUUGUAAUUAUUAUUAUUUGAACCCUGAUCAAUUUAAUUAACAAUAUUAGCAAAGUAAAUUUCCGAUCCUUUUAGCAUACAUAUUUAUAAAUUAUUAAAAUAAAUUAUUUAAACGGAAUCUUCAAAUCUUUAUGUGCUUAUAUCAUUAUACAUAAAUCGUACAUGUCUAUCUUAUCCAUAUAAUAACUUCUAAAAUCAAAUAAUAUAUAAAUAAAUUACUUACAUAAAAUGUUAUAAAAAGUGACUAUUUAUGUUACCCCACCUAAAACUAGAAAAGGGGUUUAUAUAACUACUAACAUAAUACUUCCCCUUUUAUUAAAGAAUUCCAUCAUAAAAAAUGGCACAACUCAAAAUCUGCAUUAAGACCAUAUGGAAUCAGUGUAUUUAAUCUAUAGAUCCAUUCCAUCUCACGCUUACCUAAAUCUCUUACGAAGUCCCCUCCUCUCCAAUUUCUAUUUAUUUUAUUAAUCCCCACAAACUGUAAACCCUCUGAUUUUUGGUCAUGACAUAAUUUAAAAUGGCUCGAGACGCUAUGUUGCUCGAAACCUGUCUGGAUUUUGUAUAUGUGUUCUCUGAUUCUAGUAUGAAGUGGUCUUGUAGUCCUCCCCACAUAUUUCAGUCCACAUGGACAGAUUAAAAGAUAUAUUACAUUUUUAGUAUAGCAUGUUAUGAAUUGCUUGAUCUGAAUUUUUUUCUCCUUAUCCGAUGUUAUAUCUUUUAUUAUUCUUCGUUUACAUCCUGACUUUUUACAGGCAGAACACUGAUCACAACCAUAAAAUCCUUUCUCAUUAUUGAAUAUAGUGGAGGUAUGGUUUUGUUCCUUAAGAGAACUCCGAACCAGGCUAUUCCUCAGAUUUUUUGCACCCCUAUAAAUCAUCCUGGGUUUUGCAGGAAGAAUUUGUUUAAGUGCUGGAUCCUGUAAUAGGAUCGGCCAAUAUUUCCUGAUGAUUCGGUUUAUUUGAUAAUUAUUGUUGUUGUAAUUACAGAUGAAGGGAAUAUCUUGUGUAUUAGUAAUAGUUUUGGUUUUAUAUACUAAUAAAUCCUUCCUCUCCCUAUUUCUUAUUUCAUUUCUUGAUUUCUCUAGUUUUUCUAGAUCAUAGCCCUUCACGGCAAAAUCAGCUUUUAUCCGUGAUGAUUGUUCAUCAUAGACUUCCAAAUCGCUGCAGUUUCGUCUAAUUCUAAGAAAUUGUCCCUUAGGGGCAUUUUCCAACCACGGAGAGUGGUGGCAGCUUAUACUCUCUAUAAAACUAUUACAGUCAACUUUUUUAAAGUGAUUUUUAGUUUUAAUUUUACCUCCUUCAAUAAAAAUAUCAAGAUCUAAAAAGGUUACUAUUUCUUUACUCCAAGUACUACUUAGCCUGAUACCCCAAUCAUUGGUAUUUAAAAAUUCUAAAAAGGAGACUAAGUCAUUUUCUUCUCCCCUCCAAAUCAAUAAAAUGUCAUCAAUGUAUCGGCCAUAGAAGGCCAAGUUUCCCCCCCAGCCAUGCCCCUCAUAAACAUAGGAUUCUUCCCAAAAAGACAUAAAUAGGUUUGCAUAGCUGGGGGCAAACUUGGUCCCCAUGGCCGUCCCAUUAGUUUGUAGAAAAAAGGUAUCAUUGUACCAAAAGUAGUUAUUAUUUAAAAUAAGUUUUAUUCCUUCCACUAUGUAUUCUAUCUGUUCCUGUUUAAAUUCUUUUGAUUCCAUUAAAAAAUGUUUUGCCGCUCUACAUCCAUAAGAAUGGGGAAUGUUACUGUAAAGGGCCGCCACAUCACAAGUGACUAAAAUACAGUCAUUAUCCCAAGGCAUAUCUUCCAAAACUUGUAAGACUGUAAUCGUAUCUUUAAUAUGUGAUCUAGUUUUCAUGACUAAAGGUUGUAAUUGGACAUCUAUAUAUUGUGAUAGUCUGCUUGAAAUUGAGUCUAUGCCUGCUAUAAUGGGUCUUCCUGAAGGUUUCUCUACAUUUUUAUGGACUUUAGGUAAAAAAAAAAAAAAACUGGUAUUUUGGGGAAUUUAAUAUUUAAAAACUGGAAUUCUUUUAAACUUAAAAUAUUCUCAUUAAACCCUUUGUUAAAAAAAGUUAAAAAAAGAGAAUUAAUACUGUCACUUGGGUUCAUCCCUAAUUGUUGGUAAGUAUUAGAAUCUUUUAAAAUAUUAUUUGCUUCUGUAUCAUAAAACUGUUUAGACAUAAGCACUAUCCCCCCUCCCUUAUCUGCCGGUUUAAUAACUAAAUUUUUAUCUGUUUGAAGAUCCUUGAGUGCUUUCUUUUCCAAUAUUGUCAAGUUAUCUUUAAACUUAUCGUUAGGGAUAAUUUUAUUCAUUUCUGUUGUAACCAUAGUUUCAAAUGUUAUUAUUUCGUCUGAUAGCAUUUGUUUGGGGUAGAAGGAGGAUUUGUUUUUAAGGGAAGUGUGUUUAAACCCAGAUUCAUCCUCUAGAUUUAUAUUCUGGUUAAUUUGAUCCCUAUUAAGCGGGUCCCCCCAAAAAAAAUUUUUCAAACAUAAACUACGUUUAAAGCGGUUUAAAUCUAUAUACAUAUCGAAAUGAUUUAAUCCUGUGCUAGGGGCGAAUUUUAACCCUUUAUUAAGUACUGAUUUAUGAUGAUUAUCAAGGAUUUUAUCACUUAAAUUAAAAAUGCCUUUUAUUAAUUCCGUAGAUUCAGGUCCCUUCUUUUUGAUCUGUAUUCGUUUCCCUCCCCUUGUUCCUCUAUAUCUGAGGCUCUCCUUUUCCUGGAAUUUGUUGGAAUACUUUGCUCUUGAUCUAACUUGUGUCUGUCUUUGGUUUUGGAUUGUCGAAAAACCUCUUCUUCCCUAUAAUCUGACAGAGCUUCAUAUCGGUUAUAAGUGGGGAUUCUUUCCUGAUUACUCUGGUAUUGUCUAUAUGGUCUCUGUUCUCUAUAAUUCUGAAAAUCUUCCCUAUUCCUAUAACUCCUUCUCUCUCCUUCUGAAUUCUUCCUUAUAUUAGUGUAAUUAUAAUUAUCCCUAGUGGUGUUCAAUCUUGGUCUCCACUUCUCUCUUGUUUCAUUGUGAAAAAAUCUCCUAGGGUAAUUGGAUUUAUAAUGAUUCCCCUUAUAUGUUCUAUUUGUAUGUUCUUCAUUAAUUUCCUCUAAUUGAUUAUUAUGCCUUACUCUCAUAGGGGUGGUUUGUUUUGUCGCUUGAUAUUUUUGGGCAUAUUUGGAGAAAGAUAUGUGUCUGGUGCCAUCUCCUGGAAUGCUCCUGACUUUCUCUCGGGGGGGAAUAAUGGGUUCUGUGUGAGUGGAUACAAAGGUGAGGGAUGUGAUGCUAUGUUUGGUGUCUGUCUGAUCUUUGACCACAGCAGUAAUGUCAGUGUUACUGUGGAAUGUGGCGUGUACCCCGGUGCUAGGCAAGGUUUUCCCUUCUCAUGCAACGGGCCGUGAAUGAAGCAGUUUACAAUUGUACCCAUUGUUUGGGAUUGUGUGGCUGUGCCCAUUCAUAUAUUCUGGUGAGUAUGAUGGAGUGGUGGUAGGUUUCCAGGUCUGGCAGACUUAGGCCUCCCUGUGUUUUCUGCUUGGAUAGACAGGUAUACUUUAGUCUAGAGUGUUUAUGAGCCCACAAGAAGGACGAGAAAAGGCAUUUCACCUGUAUGAAGAAGGCAGGAGGUAUGCUGAUGGGCAGGGUUUGUAGUAGGUAGAGUAAUUUGGGUAGCACAUUCAUCUUCAGAAUGUUUAUUCUACAGUGCCACCCAAAGUACGGCUUGUUCCAGGCCUUGAGGUCUUUGGCAAUGGAUGUCAAUAAUGGUGGGAAGUUCAGGUCAUAUAUCUGCGGUAACACUUUAGGUAAAUGUAUCUCUAGAUGUUUUACUGCCACUGGUGACCAGUUGAGGGGGGAUAGUUGUGUUUUGGCGUCUUUGGUGGUGCUAGAGAUAUUGAGUGGUAGGAUCUCGCUUUUAGUGACAUUGACCCUGAAGUUGGACACCUCAGCAUACGUGUCUAUAUCUGUGAAUAUACGGUGGAGUGAUGAAUUUGGAUUUGUGAUUGCGAAGAGCAAGUCACCAGCAAAAGCAGAGACUUUGUGUUUGCAGCCCUGUGCAGCAAUGCCCUUAAUGGUCCUGUUUUCCCUAAUUCCUUGGACGAAGGGUUCCAUGAGUAGAAUGAAAAGGAGAGGGGAAAGGGGGCACCCCUGUCUCGAGCCAUUGGUAAUGGGGGCUGUGUCCGAUAAUUGUCCGUUGACCCUGAUCCUGGCUCCUGGUUUGGAGUAAAUGGGAUCCAUUUCAUCCAGUUUGGGCCGAACCCCAUGGCCUGGAGGGUGUUCUCUGCAUCAAUGGUGAGGAGGAGGCUCUUUGAUGCUUCCCUCCCCGAGAGGUGGAUAAGGUUGAGGAGUUUAGUGGUAUUAUUUUUGCCCUCUCUCCCGGGUACGAAUCUCUCCUGAUCAAGGUGGACUAGGUCUCUUUGAAGCGAUCUGAGACGUAUGGCCAGGAUCUUUGUGAAGAGCUUCAGGUCAAUAUUGAUCAAGGAUAUCGGCCUGUAACUUCUGCAUUCUGUUGGGUCCUUCCCUGGUUUGGGUAUAUGGUUAUGUGGGCCUCUGAAGCUGUGUCUGGGAGGGUACUGGAUUGUGUGAUUGAGUUGAAGGUGCAUAUGAAUGAGACUGUAAGUUCGGAAGAGAAAAAUGUUAUAAUAUUUGGCUGUGAACCCGUCUGGUCCUGGGCUUUUGCCCAGUGGUAGAUGUUUUACCGCUAGGUGGAAUUUGUCCGGUGUGAGGGGGGCAUCAAAAAUCUGCCUAAUGUUCGGUGGGAUUGUCUGAGUGAGUCGUUUAUACAGAAAGUGGUCAAUUGGGAUGGUGGAGAUUAUCUGAGGUUGUAAAGAUUAGAUUAGAAGGUGUGAAAGGCUUGCAGUAUCUCUGGCAAGAGGUGGGGGUCACGUUGGGUGUCUUUACCUGGGAAAGUUUGUUGCCUGUUGUGUUGUAAAGCUUUGGCCAACAAGCACCCACCUCUCCCCCCUUAAAUAUGAGUGUAUGGAUAGAAGUAGUUAGAGUUUUAUCUGGGAAUUCAGGAUUUGCUGUAGCUUGGAACGUUGUCUAUGAGUUGUUUAUGUAUGUCUAGGGAACUGGACUUCCCUAUGUUUCUUAUGUUUAGACGCUAGUGCAAUAAGGUGCCCUCGUAUUACUACCUUGUGGGCCUCCCACGGGAUUGGGGGUGAGGUUAUUGUUAUGAAUGCUCCGAAAAGUAGUGUUGUAAGUCAGUAGAUAUCUGUUUAACUAUGGAUGGGUCAAUAAGAAGCAUAUUGUUAAGCUUUCAUUGGAAGCUUUUUGGGGAGAGGGUGGGUAUGCGGAUGGUCUGAUCACGUUAUGGGGCCAUAAGCACAGGACUGAAUCAGCAUGGAGUAUGAGUGUGUAACCGCCGAGUAGAAUGAGUAGUCCCUCGUUUGAGGGUGGGUUAUCCGCCAGCUAUUGAAUAGCCAUGCAUUAUCUAGUAGCUGAGUUAUUCUUGAUCUAGUUGAUUCUUGAUCUAGUAUUUAUGAAGGAAGCUGCAUUGUUUGGAGUUCGGAAUAUAGAGAUUGGCCAAGUUUACUACUGUGUUGCCUAUCAAUCCUUUGACCACUAUCAACCUGCUGCUAGGGUCUGAGUAAUGGUCUAUCUAUUUAAAUGGAAUAUGGGUUCCUACGAGGAUGGCUACAUCUCUCUUUUUAGCUCCCACAUAGUUGCUGAACUAUCCUUGAGGGUAAUGCCUGUCCCCGAGAGUCGAGGCUGCAUUUGCCCUGAAGUGUGUCUCCUGAAGAAACACCACGUAGGCUCUAAAUUUGUGUAGUUUGUGCAGUACUAGGGAGCGUUUGGCAGGGGUGUUUAAACCUGGAACGUUUAAUAUAACUACGUUAAUAUCUGCCAUGCGUGGCUCUGAGCUGUUUUCGAUGGUCUGAGACAGUAUCCUGCUGUGUAUAUGUUACCACAGAGUAUAGAGAGUAUGUUGAUGCAAUACAUUUGCAGAUGUAGCUUAGUGUGAUGGUGUCUUUCCCAUGUUUGUGGUACACCUAAUGGGAAACAGGUUUGGCAGCGCUUCAGCGGCUCUUGUUUCUCGGUUCAGAUAAGCUUUAUGAGGGGAGAUAGAUUCGAGUGUCUGCUAGGGAGAUGGGAUGGACAAUCUAAGUAUUGCUGAUAUCGUAACUUGUGUUUAGGAAUUGGGGUGGUAUAUUUGGGUAGUUAUGGGGCAAGGGUACAGUCUGACGAUCGUUCCCCCAUGCCCAGGUUGAAGAUAUGAGGCAUGUGAUCUGGGAUAAUUUAGGGGGUUUUGACUCUCCCUCCCACCGCUAUGUUCCUAAUGCCAUCACCACAUCGAGUUGAUGUUUGCUUUGCCCUUACAAUGUUAGAUGUGUGCAUCCACAGGGUACCCUCUUCUACUAAGUACUGCGGGCAGUGUAAGCUUCAUGCGUCGCAGUUGAGGGGGGUGAAAAAUAAAGAGCACGGUUACAUCACUUUGGUAGGUAGCUUUGGUAGGUAGUUUCCUGGGCACGAGUUAGAGGGCCACCGGAGCGUGAGAAAGUUGGUGUGCUAGGGGUGAGGGGCAUCGGAGGCCCUUGUGAUCUGGAAGCGGGGUACCUGUAGAGCAACGGAUUGUAUUUGCAUGCAAUAUAAGAGACACAGUAUAUGGGAUACAACAUAUAGGUUAGAUUUUACCAUCUGUUUACGCCUCUUCCCUCUCUGUUUGCCACAGCUACCCAACCACUGGGUAAUGCAAGUCCCUGUCUGGUUAAGAUUUUGUUCGGAUGCCGGGUUAUUGGUUCGGGAAGUAUUUUUUGCUGUGUCCGAUCCCUCCGGGAAAGUAUGGCUUCGGGUAAGCAGCUGGGCAGAGCGGGGUAACCAUAUUCCAUUGGCGAUCAGGGUCCAUGCGUAGUCGGGUUUCUUGGCACAGAGUCCUUUUUUUUUUUAGGAGUAUGAGGCUGGGGGUAUUCCUUUUAUGGCUCGUCUCAGGUAUGUAUCCCAUCUUGGUUUCCACUCUGCAUCCUGGGGGUAGUCUAUAGGGAGCCGCAGGGUAACACCGUGGGGAGCCGAGUAGAUUUACAGUUUUUUUGCACUUUACGCCAUAAUUCUCCCCUCAAGCGGCUACCCUUAGUCGGAAGUUGGGUAGAAGCACCUGUAGAGAUGAUCCGGGUCUUGGAUGAGGCUUUGGGUGGUGGGAUUAUGGGCUAUUGGGUACCAAUCUACAGACAAUGUACGGUAGAUUACCGUCUUGAGGAAGGGCCUGCCGGGGUUUGCGGUCCAGAGGGUGGGUCUCUGUGGUUGUUGAGGCGUCUCUUGGACGGCGUCUGCCAUCAUGGGUGUUGUGGUUGUGCCUGUUGUGGGCUGUACCAGUCCUGCAGCUGAAUGUUGGGGAGACCCAUGGUCUGCGUGAAAAGUGCUGUGUCACUGGCUGUGGAUAGGGUAGCUGUAGCCCCAUUAUUGGAGGUCAUGAGGGCCAGAGGGAAACGCCUCCGGUAUCUAAUAUUCCUGGACCGUAGUAUGUCCGUGAGGUCGUGAGGUCGUGAGGGCCAGAGGGAAACGCCACCGGUAUCUAAUAUUCCACGCCCUUCUGGCUUGGAGAGUCAUCCAUGAGAGAUCUGGGAAUAUUUGUACCUGUGCCCCAUGGAACAACAGUGGCUGGGAGGUUUGUCUGAGCAUACUGAGGAUUUCCUCCUUGACCCUGUAAUAGUGAAGCCAUUCAGGAAGGCACUUUUUCCUUCUUCCGUGGUUUUCUAAGUCAUCCAAGGAUCUGUACAUUGCAGCUAGCUGCACGUUCUGAGCUUCCACUGUGCUCUGCAAUUGAUGGAUUUGAGUUUGGGUAAAAUCCUGAUCGUCUUCCAACGUGGUGACCCUGUCUCCCACCUGUUUGAUUUCUGCGGCUAUGGCAUCCAUUUUAACUUGGAUCGACACUUCCCAUUUAUGGAGCAUAGUAGCCAGGUCUUGCUUAGAAGGUAGUUUUGUGAGCACUGACCUGAGUCCUUGAUCCAUUUUCAAUAACAAGUUUUUGGAGUUCGUCAGGCUAGAUGGGGGUGAUGUGCCCAGGGGGAUUCUGGUGCCAUGUUUGGGCCUCGUGCUUCAGCUUGCUGCUCUGACUAUGUCACAUCCUGUUCCUCGCUGCGGAUCAUUCUGGCAAUGGCUUCUGGUAUUCAGUACUCUUUUUGCUGUCCUUGCUUGGUUUUUCUGGUCUAUGUCUGGUUUUCUUUGUUGCUGGGUUUCUGGGUUCAUUCUUAUAUUCCGUCCCUGGAUUUCCCAGUCUCUUGGAAUCACUUGUUGGAUUCAAAUGUUUGUUUUAUGUUGGCACACCCGUUUGUUUUCCACUUUCCUUUUGUUUCAGUCUGGACCUGCAGCAGUGUUUCUAGUCUCUGCCCUUUCUUGCAGGUAAGUGCUAUAUUGUGGUUUAGUAUGGUUGUUUUAGCAUGCAUUAGGCACUGUAGGACCUGCCAAAUAUGGGGUACAUUGGCAUUGUUGGCAGGCUUGUGCAAUGUAUGAUCAUAUAAUGUGACUAAAUCCCCAUACUUUUCAUAUAUAAUACUUAGCUAUGUUUCCUCUUGUUAUACCUUGUAUUUCUUGUCUUGUUUUACUUUGUCUUAUAAUCCCAGUCCAUGUACAGUCCUGUAGAGUCAUGCCCAUGCUAUAUUCUUGUUUUCCUCAUGUCUUGUGUACAUGUUUUAGGUUCUGCUUUCUGUCCUGCUCUGGUUCUGGGUUCUCCUAGUUUUGUUUUGUUUUUGUGUAUGGUGCCUAUCUUUAGUCUUGCUUUCAUACAUGGUGCCUUGCUCUCCUAGUCUUGCCUUACUUCAGUACUGGAUACAUCCCUGCUGCAGAGCCUCCCUAUUCAGCUUCUGGGAGGUCUGCUUAAUUACCUGCUUCUAGUUCCUGGGAUCUGCAUAAGCUGAAUCAGGGUUCUGGUAUGUGGCUGCACAAACGCUGGUGCUCAACACCAGGGGGCUUGCAGUUACUCUGCACCAGGCCCUGCUAAUCCACCUCCACACUGUGACUCCUACUCUGAACAUCAGGCAUAUUGGGUCCCAGUCCAUGCACCGCCGCCCGGACAGUGUCUGGGUCCCGGGCACCGGACCGCCACCCUGACAGCCUUGUCCUUGAAGUACUUUGUCAGUGCCCACGAUUUGCCACCCGUCAGUUUCCAUGACAUGUGGGGGGUUGAUGAAGAAUGUUUGGGGUGCCCCAUGAUGUCUGAGGAUUGUCCGUGUUUGCUCCCAGAGCUCAACGUUUAAGCGGCCAUACAGGUCCGCAGUUAUAUCUUUUAUAUACAUGUACACUUUGCUUUGUGGGGGGAUUGUUGACUCAGAAAACAAAUCAAGAGCAAUCCCAAAGGGUUAAAUUCCAAACAAAUGCAGGAUGAAUGUUAGUUUAUUUGUCUAAGAGAAAUGAGAGGUAGGAACAGAAGUAAAAAUGUCGAGUUGCUUUUAAGAAAUGGGGGGUAACCCCUAGUAACUAUUGUAAAGAGAAAAAAAGAGAAUAAACAAAAACAGAGAAACCAUAGGGUUAAGGUAAAUCAGUCCCAAAGGUUCCCUGUAAUUGCAGUGCAACGCAAAGGAAAGUAAUUUAAAAAUUAACUUUUAAUAAAUUCCUUCUAAAAAAUCAAUGCCUAAAUGAUAGGUAAUAAGUAACACACAAAUAAUAAUUAAAUAAAAAACGGAGAGAGAGGACAAUAGAACUUGCAGAGUAACUAGGUAAUUCACAGAAAAAGAAAGGGGUUGCCUAAUAUAUCGUGGAAACAUCCAAUAAUAUCUAUAAUGAAAAAAAGGUUUUAAGUCUAUCUAACUGUGCAAACCCUAGUAUUACUAGUACUGUCUCCUAACUCCCAGUACUCACAGGCUCGAAUCACCUGCCUAAAUACAACAAAGUAAAGCAUCAAUAGAAGAUACACAGAGGUUAAAGUCUAAAGAUAAAAGUGAAGAGAGGGUGGUCUGCUCGGAGCAUCCUAAAUGAUCUAAACUAGCUGCAGCAUAGUCCCCAGUCAAUCUCCAACCACCCGCUCGCUAACUAAUCCCGACGCGCGUUUCACCACAGAGUCUCUUCCAGGGGAACCGAGCUGGACGCCGGCCGUCAUUUAAAUAGCCCGCCCUCCUCUAGGAUGGGUCAAUGUUCAGACCAAUCACGAACGAGGGGGCGGAGUCAAAUACCGAAGCCGGUUAACCCAUGAUCGCAGGGGAAGCCGGCACGGAAGAUUAAUGAAAUGAAAAAGUCUUUAGAAAAGUCAAAGUGAAGUGUGAUUGUUGAUGAAUAAACUAUUGAAGUAGAAUGUGAUGUGAAACAAGUACCUGCAUAAUGAGCAGGCUUGUGAAUAAAAGUGUCCAUCAUUGUUAUGAAAUAACAUCAGGAUACAAUUAUAACAUUACAUAAAUAGUACCUGGAUUAUAAAACAAAGAAUUAGUUGUUAUGUAAAAAUUGCUCUUAAAGCUUGAAUACAUAAUAGAAACAGGCUUAUAAAUGUAGGUCCUCAAUGCUGGAAAAUUAUUGAGCAAUAUAUUUGAUCUGCAUGAUCUUGGUCCUGUAUAUUCUCUUGCAUUUAGGACUUACAUUUCUAAGCCUGUUUUUAAUAUGUAUUCAAGAUGCUAGAACAAGUUUUUACUAAAACUAAUACCUUUUUGUAGAUAGUUCUUUCACAAUUCAUACACUGUUGAUGUAGUGUUACAAUUGUAUCCUGAUCUGUUACUUUGUAAAAGUAAUGGACACCUUUACUCAUUAAUCUGGUGUACUAUGUUGUUUAUAAUUCUAUCAUUACUCUCAUUAUUAUUAUUGGGCAAUAUAAUUGACCUGCAUGACUUUGGUCAUAUGUAUUUUCCAGCAUUGAGGACCUACAUUUAUAAGCCUGUUUCUAUUAUGUAUUCAAGCUUUAAGAGCAAUUUUUACAUAACAACUAAUUCUUUGUUUUAUAAUCCAGGUACUAUUUAUGUAAUGUUAUAAUUGUAUCCUGAUGUUAUUUCAUAACAAUGAUGGACACUUUUAUUCACAAGCCUACUCAUUAUGCAGGUACUUGUUUCACAUCACAUUCUACUUCAAUAGUUUAUUCAUCCACAAUCACACUUCACUUUGACUUUUCUAAAGACUUUUUCAUUUCAUUAAUCUUCCGUGCCGGCUUCCCCUGCGAUCAUGGGUUAACCGGCUUCUGUAUUUGACUCCGCCCCCUCGUUCGUGAUUGGUCUGAACAUUGACCCAUCCUAGAGGAGGGCGGGCUAUUUAAAUGACAGCCGGCGUCCAGCUCGGUUCCCCUGGAAGAGCCUCUGUGGCGAAACGCGCGUCGGCAUUAGUUAGCGAGCGGGUGGUUGGAGAUUGACUGGGGACUAUGCUGCAGCUAGUUUAGAUCAUUUAGGAUGCUCCGAGCAGACCACCCUCUCUUCACUUUUAUCUUUAGACUUUAACCUCUGUGUAUCUUCUAUUGAUGCUUUACUUUGUUGUAUUUAGGCAGGUGAUUCGAGCCUGUGAGUACUGGGAGUUAGGAGACAGUACUAGUAAUACUAGGGUUUGCACAGUUAGAUAGACUUAAGACCUUUUUUUCAUUAUAGAUACUAUUGGAUGUUUCCACGAUAUAUUAGGCAACCCCUUUCUUUUUCUGUAAAUUACCUAUUUACUCUGCAAGUUCUAUUCUCCACUCUCUCCGUUUUUUAUUUAAUUAUUAUUUGUGUGUUACUUAUUACCUAUCAUUUAGGCAUUGAUUUUUUAGAAGGAAUUUAUUAAAAGUUAAUUUUUAAAUUACUUUCCUUUGGGUUGCACUGCAAUUACAGGGAAUCUUUGGGACUGAUUUACCUUAACCCUAUGGUUUCUCUGUUUUUGUUUAUUCUCUCUUUUUCUCUUUAUUUGUCUAAGUGUUCAGGAUAGCGGAUUAUCCCAUUAAUUGAAAAUUAUAUCCAGCUGCUGAAAACUAAACAAAAAUAUCAGAUUUUUUCUGUUUAAAAGAAAUUCAUUAGCUAGACCGCCAUAAUAGUGGUAGUUUAUAUAAAACCCUUUCUGUUAGUAUCAGCAUCCCAGUUGUAACUACUGCCUCAGGUGUCAGCCAUGUUUGUAUCUAAUUAGUAUACAUUUUUCUUAAAGGACCACUAUAGUGCCAGGAAAACAUACUCGUUUUCCUGGCACUAUAGUGCCCUGAGGGUGCCCCCACCCUCAGGGACCCCCUCCCGCCCGGCUCUGGAAGGGGAAAGGGGUAAAAACUUACCUUUUUCCAGCGCUGGGCGGAGAGCUCUCCUCCUCCUCUCCGCCUCCGUUACGCCCCGCCGGCUGAAUGCGCACGCGCGGCAAGAGCUGCGCGCGCAUUCAGCCGGUCUCAUAGGAAAGCAUUUACAAUGCUUUCCUAUGGACGCUGGCGUGCUCUCACCGUGAAAAUCACAGUGAGAAGCACGCAAGCGCCUCUAGUGGCUGUCAAUGAGACAGCCACUAGAGGAUUAGGGGGAAGGCUUAACCCAUUCAUAAUUAUAGCAGUUUCUCUGAAACUGCUAUAAUUAUGACAAAAUGGGUUAACCCUAGAAGGACCUGGCACCCAGACCACUAAGCUGAAGUGGUCUGGGUGCCUAGAGUGGUCCUUUAAUACCUAAAUAGUGGCAUUUUUUAAAGUUAUAGUCAGUACUCCAGUUGCAACAUUCAUUCAGCUUGGAAGUUACUACAAUUUACUGCAAUUUACUGACUCAGGUACUAGUUUCUUUUUUAUUCAUUUUAGGAUAUGUAUUCUGAUUUCACUGCAAUAUAAGGCUUGUUUUAUUAUUUCCAUUCAUUAGCUAACUCUUUCUUUCUCAAAUUUAGAAUUAUUUGAGAACAUUUAAUCGAUAUAAAAGUAGUCCUAUCAACUUUUUGUGAAGAUGUUUUCAAGUCUACCCCUCCCCUUUUCUCAUAAUAAAUCUGAGCUAAUUAUUUUUUAACUAAGUAUGAAAGGUUCAUUCUAAUUAAAUUUUUUAAAUUUAUAGAGCAAUACACUAUUCAAUCCAAAAAAAAAAUGAUUGCGCUACUUUAGCAAUUUACAAUAAGGUUGAAUAUAUUGUGAAUAUAUCCAGCUUUGUUUAACUAAAUCUGUACUGCUCAUUAGCUAUCUAUUUUUACACACCAACACAUUUUUUUUUUACUAAUGCACCUUUGUGUUUGUUUCUUUUUUACACAGUUUGUGUUAUUCAUUAUUAUUAUUAAUUUAAUUUUUUGGCCAUUAAUAAUUAGAUAUUGUUUUAUUUUACAUUACCUUUUUGAAUGUUUGUACUUAAGGGUAAUUUGGUUCUUUCUUUGGACUUUAGCCCUUUAGGACUUCUCUCCAUUUGUUUUCUAAGUGUAUUCUAGUUGGGUUAUGCCCUAAUUACCCUGCAACCAUUACAAACACUAGUGCAACAUUCUUGCUGACUGUCACCAAGGUUUGUUUUAUUUAAUAUUCUUGACUCAAUCUAUGUAUCUGGACCAUAUGGCAAGACAUACUCAAGGUACUAUGCUCCUCUUUGUAUCUGUAUUGUUUUUGUAUAUGUGCAUGUAUGCCUACUUUGCUUAACUAAAAACAAAUGGUUGAUUGCACACAAAAAUGUUAUAAACAAUCAAUUUGUUUAUAAACUAUAACAUUUAAUAAAUAACAUAAAAUCAAAAUACAUAACACCUAAGCAGGACUUCCUCUCACCAAAGUGAUUUUGAGGAAGAAGUUUUUAAUUUUUACUGUUUUUUUUAAAUGUUUAAUUUUUUAUUAGAUAUUUGAUUUCAUUACAAUAAAGACAGGACCUGUGCCCUGAGAGAAAUAAUUUGAAUCUUGACCACAUUAAAACUUUUGGCAUAUACACCUUAGCCUGGUUCAGUGUCAGGGAUAUCAACUACAGACUGAGUGCAUGUGCACAGGCUCCGCAAACACUAAAUGCUUCUUCCAAACCAUCCUAUACCAGCAUUAAAAAUGUCCAAAACCACGUCUGUUAGGUAUUCCUAAUUGCAAUACCAUACUAAAGUUCAACAAAACAAGAAAAUGGACCUGUUAAUUUUAAUGUGCACCUUAUUAAUAGCUCGGUGUGACUGAGAAUUACGCCAAACAGGGGACUAUGUCAGACCAAACCAAAACUAAACCAAGCAAUAUAAGCAACAGGUUCAAACAAUCUCUCUUCAGAGAUGGGAGCACAUGGGGGCGACCAAGGUCAUUCUUGGACAGGUGGUUAACUAAAAUGGGAGAGCUGCAGCCAAAACUCAACUCUGAAAGUCAUUAAUCCCUCCCAAGACAUACCCCGAAUACCUAACCACCAAACAUGACCUAAGAGGAAAACCCAAGCUGACCUAUAGCCAUUCUCCUGGCGGUCCAGUGGAAAUACUUAUGCUUCAUGUUACAAGCCAGGCUUUAUCGAGAACCUAAAAAAAAAAAGCAAAACAAACAAAACAAAUAGCAUAGUAUAUGUUAAACAGACGCAAACACAUACCCACAGCCCAUGCACCCACUACUCAACAUAAGCAGAACACAAGAAAGAAAGAGUUUGCUGUGCACCAGCCCAAAUCCCUAUGCAUAUUUAACUAAAUGGAGGUUAUUCAGUAACUCAAAUGGCCAUUAGAUGUAAGCCCACCUGCUACAUUAAGGCACAUGUGACAAGUGGGUCCUACACUAACAAUGCACAUUAAUUGCUUCAGCUUCAGGCAAAGAAACCUCAGAGACAGAGAGGGGUAUUUUUCUAUACCACUACAUACUUGAUGUGGCAGGUGGCCUUACAUGUAGUGGCCAUUGGACUUAGUAAAUAACCUCCAUUUAUUUAAAUAUGCAUAGGAAUUUGGGCAAGUGCUCAGGUAACUAUUUUUCUUUGGUUUUUAUUGUAUGCAUUAGGACUGAUGUGUGCUAUGGUUGCUGUUGCUGCCCAGGAGUAGUGGGAGUUUGAGCACAGAACUUAUUUUUGUGUAUUUAUAAUUAGAACACAAGUAAUGAUAUAAAGGAGUUUCCCAAAACAAGCACACCAUGAUAAGGCCUGUACCACCUCAAUAUACCUUUUGUGUUUUGAGAUUUUAAAUUGUUUAGAUUCUUAAUAUUAUUUUCUUAUUUUUAUUACAUAGUGAACAUAAGAAAAAUACCCAUGCAACCGCAUAAGUCAGACCAGAAAUGCUGGCGAACAUAGGACAGAAAAAAAAAAAAUCAAAUGAAAGCCCGAAGGUCAUCCAACUUAUCCAGCGGCAACCUGCAUAACUGCUAACCUGAAUCUAUUUCAAUCCCAAGAAACUUAAUCACAGACAUAGAG